UACGUAGGGCGCAAGCGUUAUCCGGAAUUAUUGGGCGUAAAGAGCUCGUGGGCGGUUUGUCGCGUCUGCCGUGAAAGCCCGGGGCUCAACCCCGGGAGGCGGGUGGAUACUGUCUAGCUCGAGUCCGGAAGAGGAGUGUGGAAUUCCUGGUGUAGCGGUGAAAUGCGCAGAUAUCAGGAGGAACACCAAUGGCGAAGGCAGCACUCUGGGACGUGACUGACG
RNAcentral lists this ribosomal RNA (222 nucleotides) under uncultured bacterium. Its description in RNAcentral is "partial 16S ribosomal RNA". It matches the Rfam family "Bacterial small subunit ribosomal RNA", at positions 524 to 745 of the family's 1533-position model. The record is from RNAcentral.